Molecule: non-coding RNA, 70 nt
Organism: Pangasius djambal
Lineage: Eukaryota; Metazoa; Chordata; Actinopteri; Siluriformes; Pangasiidae
Source: the annotation of a GenBank genome assembly
GGCACAGUGGCUUAGUUAGCACUGUUGCCUCGCACCUCCAGGGUUGGGGGUUCGAAUCCCGCCUCUGCCC